AGCCUAAUCGUGUCAUCAUGAGUCAAUAAAAUCUUCAAUAACACCGAUUUUUAACCACAAAAUGCAUUUUUUAUGACACUUCAGGCUUUGUUUUUACUUUUCAGAAUCCAGCGGGUGACAUGGGAGACCAUAAUCCCAACAGUGUACCUCUCUUCUGUUUUAAUCCUGUCCAUAUAAAUACUCCCAGAUGACAGUCAGAGAUUAUCAGGAACUGUAGGAGGUGUUUGACAGCACAUCUGCACAACAUGCCAAACAUUUGAUGUCAUUUGGAAACAUUGUACAUUUUGUGGUGAAGUUAGUUUGACCAUUUUUGCCCUUAAUCUCACAUAUCAACUCUUUUUUUUUAAUGAAUGUCAGCCUUUUAUCGCAAAAAUGCUGUCUGAAAUUAUUUUGUCAGUAGCAGUUGUAACAGUUAACAGCAUAGUUCAGAAAGGUGAAACAAUUUAGAGUUUUGCUGCCAGAUAAGGGUACAAAAGACGUGCCCUAAGCUGUUUGAUGCAAAUUAAUGAUAAUGGGAUGGUCAACAGAGUUUUUAACAUGAAUAUAAUUUGUUUGAAUGUGUGUUAUUGUUAUGAUUAGUCCAAAAUUGCAUGGACUUUGAUCAGACGUUGGAAAUAUUUCUGGGAAGGGAGCGUACAGUAGCCUUUGUUGACCUUAAUUCCAAUCAGCGAUGUUUUGUCUGCCUCCAAACCUGAAUUAGGAAACGCAUCCAGGUUUUCUGAAAGCCAUGUGACUAGGUCCGGCUAGGUCAGCAUUCCUUGCUUCUGUCAGAGGGUCUUUGGAAUGUGCAGCUCCCGAUGCCACUCCCUUUUUGAGCUGUGCUGAAUUCCUCCCACCAGCCUCCCUCUGGGGAACUGCGUGUACAGCACACUACCCAGCAUCCGACAGUGCCAGCAGCUCUGCUACGUGCCAAAAUAAAUGUGCUGCCACUCCAACAGGGAGGUGCAAAGCCCAAUGGGAUAUCUAAAAAUACGAGAGGACUGAAACAUGUCACGGCUCUGCUGGGAGGUGCCAGGUUGCCUGGGAGGUGAGCUGAAGGGUGUUGGGGCACUCAUGCCUUGCGCAGAAUUGAAGUGAGAUGAUGCGAUAGGUUGAACUACAGUCUGUUUUGCUCAGA
RNAcentral lists this long non-coding RNA (1117 nucleotides) under Oryzias sinensis (Chinese medaka). Its description in RNAcentral is "lncRNA (ENSOSIG00000021003.1)". Lineage: Eukaryota; Metazoa; Chordata; Actinopteri; Beloniformes; Adrianichthyidae. The record is from RNAcentral.